This 482-nucleotide ribosomal RNA is filed under the name uncultured bacterium. RNAcentral describes it as "bacterial SSU rRNA". It matches the Rfam family "Bacterial small subunit ribosomal RNA", at positions 30 to 506 of the family's 1533-position model. The record is from RNAcentral.
UUGAACGCUGGCGGCAUGCCUUACACAUGCAAGUCGAACGGCAGCGCGGGCUUCGGCCUGGCGGCGAGUGGCGAACGGGUGAGUAACAUAUCGGAACGUGCCUUAGAGUGGGGGAUAACUAGUCGAAAGACUAGCUAAUACCGCAUACGAUCUACGGAUGAAAGUGGGGGAUCGCAAGACCUCAUGCUCUUAGAGCGGCCGAUAUCUGAUUAGCUAGUUGGUGGGGUAAAGGCCUACCAAGGCGACGAUCAGUAGCUGGUCUGAGAGGACGACCAGCCACACUGGGACUGAGACACGGCCCAGACUCCUACGGGAGGCAGCAGUGGGGAAUUUUGGACAAUGGGGGCAACCCUGAUCCAGCAAUGCCGCGUGUGUGAAGAAGGCCUUCGGGUUGUAAAGCACUUUUGUUCGGAAAGAAAUCGCCUGGGUUAAUACCCUGGGUGGAUGACGGUACCGGAAGAAUAAGCACCGGCUAACUACGU